UUGACAUCCAGAGAAUUUAGCAGAGGUGCUUUAGUGCCUUCGGGAACUCUGAGACAGGUGCUGCAUGGCUGUCGUCAGCUCGUGUUGUGAAAUGUUGGGUUAAGUCCCGNAACGAGCGCAACCCUUAUCCUUUGUUGCCAGCACGUAAUGGUGGGAACUCAAAGGAGACUGCCGGUGAUAAACCGGAGGAAGGUGGGGAUGACGUCAAGUCAUCAUGGCCCUUACGAGUAGGGCUACACACGUGCUACAAUGGCGCAUACAAAGAGAAGCGACCUCGCGAGAGCAAGCGGACCUCAUAAAGUGCGUCGUAGUCCGGAUUGGAGUCUGCAACUCGACUCCAUGAAGUCGGAAUCGCUAGUAAUCGUAAAUCAGAAUGUUACGGUGAAUACGUUCCCGGGCCUUGUACACACCGCCCGUCACACCAUGGGAGUGGGUUGCAAAAGAAGUAGAUAGCUUAACCUUCGGGAGGGCGUUUACCACUUUGUGAUUCAUGGCUGGGGUGAAGUCGUAACAAGGUAAGCGUAGUGCU
Molecule: ribosomal RNA, 529 nt
Filed under: uncultured bacterium
Lineage: Bacteria
Description: bacterial SSU rRNA
Rfam family: Bacterial small subunit ribosomal RNA
Source: RNAcentral